UUAGAAUUUUGUUGUGUUUAUUUGAUUUUUUCUAAUGUAUUGUUAUUUGCUUGUAUGAGUUUGGAAUGUAUUGUGCGUUUGUUGUUUAUUUGGGAAAGGAAUUAAAAGGAAUGGAAGUGUAAACAAAGGUUUCACGGUUUCCAAUGAUUGGUUUAAUGAAAAGAAAUAAAAGAAAUUCAAUAUUUUGGGGCCAUUAUCAAGAAUUUUUACAUAAGUAGUUGAGUUGGCCACUUGGACACGCACACUAGGCUAACACGUUUAGCGAAUGAAAGAAGCGUAGGACAUUUGUGUCGUUUUCUCUUCUCCAAAAUUCUUUUAGGUCCCUUGCAUAUUUUUUACUAAAGAUAGAAUGCCUCAUAUUUUUUUUCCCUUUUUCUUGCCAUUCAAUUACUUCCUGCCAAAUAUAGUAGUAAAGUUCUCGUUAUAUUGUUGGCAUUGUCGAUCCAUCCUCAUUGUUAAAGUCAAGUCCAGGUCCUUAUCGAAUUAAGCUCAAAGAUCAUCCAAUCUCUACAUUCAUUUUAUGCAUGCUAUCAACAUUUCAAAGAUAAUUUAAGUGUAUUAUUUUCAUGUUGUAAUUGAACUCUAAGUAGUUGGUCAUUGGUUUGUAAUAAUUUUAAAAAGUUUAGUUAGUAGUUAAACAUGGCUAUGUUGUGAACUAAAGCUAGAAAAUACAAGAAACAAGCUAAAGAAUUCCACGCUACAAGUUAAGGCAACUGCAAUGUUGAAAGUUACAAUGAAAUGUAUGCAUGGAAGUUAAGGAGAUUAUAGGCUGAAGUAACAAUCAAGUGGAGCAACUACAUGGGCGUGCCUAAGGAUGUGUGAAGCUUGCGCUAAGGGAGUUAAACAAAGCAUUCAUGGGUAGUUAUUAAAAUACCCAGUAGAUGAACAUGUGCAAUAACGACUUUCCAAUGUGAUGCAUUGUUAGGGUGUUGUAACAUCUUUUUGGAUGCUAAGAGUAGUGACCACAAAAAAAUGAUACUUAGACAUCUCACUUGCCAUCUCUAUACUUUUCAAUGUUCGCAUCCAUUUUGGAAGCCCAAAAUUAAUAAUAAAGGCCAAAUAUCAUCAUGCAAGUGGAGUUUAAUCUUUUUAAAAUUUCUUAUUCUUUUUGCUUAAGCAUGAUGCUAUGGCGAGCAUAGAAGAAGUCUUACUUAAGCAUGAUGCUAUGAUGCUAUGGUGAGCAUAUAUCAUUAUUUUUUAAAUUUGAGCAUCCUACUUAAGCAUUUACCUACAACAAACAGAAACACCCUUUAACACUCCAUUCUCUAUCCUUUGGGAAUCUUUCUUUGGCAUCCCAUUGGAGGUGAUCCUAAUCCUACAAUACAACAUGGAUAAAAGUAAUUCAAGAGUGAGAAUUUGAGGGAAGUUACUUUGAUCAUGGGCAUACGCAUGGAAAUUACGCAACUUCCAACUUCCGAAUGUUGGCUUCUUCAUUUGUGCUUUUAAUUCUGAUUUAUUUUUGCUUUGUUUAAGUUUCUUAUAUAAAUAUGCAACUAGGUUGUCAUUUGCAAAUGUUGAAGAAUUAAUGAAAAAGUCAAACACUUGUUCACCCAUUGUCAUAAGUUGUAGGAUUGAAUUUUAUUAAAUAAAGUGUGAAUUGUGAUCAUAGGGAUCUUUAGUUUUUCUUUAUGGUGUGCCUUCUCAUUGAAGAGCAAAGCUUGAUGCUUUGUUUCUUUGCUAUGCCAUCUUUAAAAAUUCUACUUGAUUGGUUUUGUGUUGUGACUAAUCAAAGCAUCUUAUUUACACUCAUAGCAUUCCAUUCUUUCCCAAUCUCUAUCCCAAAUGUAUUUUGUCCCUUAAGUACUUAAACUUAGUCGAGUAAUCAUUUGAUCGGCCCAUAUCCUAGCCCAAAUUAUUUGGGUGCUUGAUAUUUUGGUAUAAUUUUGGUCGAGACAAUGAAUUUUUUUACUAUAGGUCAGUAUUGUCACUAUUUAUACACAUUACUAAUUACAAAUUUAUUGCUCCAUAUUAAGUAGAAACACUUCCACUCUUGCAUUCUUAUGCCAUAUCACUCAUCCUCUUUUUUUCUUCACCCAUCUUCAAUGAUAUCCUAUUCUCUGUAUAAUCAAAAUAACAAUGGGGGAUUUUGGCAUGCCAUUAACCUUAUUGUCCGACCUAGGGGUUGGGCAAGAGGUGCACUGCUCAGGGCCCAUGAUUGAAAAGGCCCGAUAUUGGUUUUUAUACAUAUAGAAAACUGCAAUAUACCGAAGAAAUAUACUAACGGCUUGUUUGGUAAUCGGUAAUAAAUGGUGGAAAUGGUAAUGGAAGAUUAAUGUAAUUUUAAAACAAAUAUCUUUUGACAAGUUAAAUGGUCAUGGUUAUACUCCUCCACUAAUUUCAUUUUCUUCAUAAAAGUUAUUUUAAUGCAUUACCAUUUGAACAUGUGAUAUUAGGUGAUAAUUGAAAAUUAAAAAGAAUUUUUUUUUAUAAUCAAACUUUCAUUACCAUGGAAAUGAGAAGUGAAAAUUUACACUACAAAUAUUCUCAUUCCCACCAUUUAGUACUGAUUACCAAACGGUCCGUAAAGGUUAUGAGGAGAGAGAAGAAAUGGGGGCCUUCAAUUUCGGUAUUUCGAGCCUUCAAUUCAAGUAUUGCUCAGUAAUUAAUGCUUGAUCCUUCAAAUCUUUUCUUUUUAUUAUUUUCUCAAUUUCAUUGAGGUUUUCCAUUUUCUAAAGCUCCAUUACAUCAAAUAGAAAUCAUUUCUCUAAAAAUUCUUCUACUCAAACUUCACAAUUUUUCUUGUUCAACUCCGGGCCAUAUUCUUUGUCGUCACUCGUUGAUCUCGUCAUUUGGUAGUUGGAGGAUAAGGUUUUCAAUUAUUUGGUUAAGUUUGGAUACACAUGUAAUUAACCUUGAUGAUUAUUGCAAUUACUAUACGGAAUCUUAUUAUAGCAAUAUUAACAACUUGAAGUUGUAUGGGCUACCCAUUUGGUACAAAUUGAGACGAAAUAGGUUUCUUUUUAAGUUAAUUUAUGUUCUCAUUUAUAAUUCACAAUGAUUAUUAGUUAUAAUUCUAGUUGUUGUAGCUCGAGUUACUUUUGCUUCACAUUGUUCUUCAUCAUUAUAAUAAUGAUAAAAUCAUUUUACAUCACCACAAAAAAUAAUAAUAAACUUAAUUUCCCUACAAUGUAUAUUUAUUGGAAGAGGAAAACCUUUGUUUUUACUCGGACAUUAGAAGAGAGGGAGAGGAAAAAGAAAGAUUUGAUUUUAUUAGUGAUUUGGCAAGAUAAAUGUUUGAUAGAAAUUAUAAUUGAUUUUAUAUCGCUUUUUUAUGGCAUUAUAAAAGUAUCCUUUUUUUUUAAUUAUAUUUAAAAAAAAGUAAGUGCAGCCCUUAAUUUAUCUGUCGCUGUGGGCCCUUAUAUUCUCAGGGCUAGUCCUGAUCCUACUCUAUAAAUUUGCCUAUUUUUUUAUUUCAUCUGAAUUUCGAAGGUCUUUUUGCAUCUUUAUGGUAUCAUUGUUACUUUUGCUUGACACUAUAAAUUAGGGUUUUAAUAUUAUCUCACUUUGGAAAUUUUUUAUUAAUUGUUUUUUAGGGAAAAGAAAAGAAAAUUAAGGGAGAUUUACAUUGAAAUUACAUAGAAGUCUUUAUUUGAAGGAGUGAAAUGAUAUUGAAUGAAAAAUAUUGAUGAAAUUGAUGAAGAAAAUAAUCAAAUUGUGUUUGAUAUGCAAAUGUUGAGUUAUAUUGAAAUGAAACCAUUGAUUUCAUCUUACUUAAAAGAAUUGAUCACAAAGACAACAAGAUGGCCGAGAAAUAGAAGGACGAUGGAGAUUGGUGGGAUAGGAGAGGGAGUAGAGGUGAAUAAUUCCAAGUAGGUUAGGGGUCAGUAGGUAAUUGGGGAAACGUGGUAUGCGGCCCAUGACCUGACUCGGAAUUAUUAUAAAUUUUAUUAAGAAUAUUGACCCGCCAUUAAGACACUCAAUUGUUGGGUUGGGUCAAAUGGGUCAGAUAUUUUUUGAACACCCCUAAUUCAAAAUACUUCAAUCUUUUCUUCCUUUGUUCAUUCGUAAGUCCCAUCUUACUUUAACUGUUUAUCUCUUUGCUAAUCCUUCCUUUCAUCUCCUUUGUAAGCAUUUCAUAUCCUUACGCUUUUAAGGUUGCAAUUCAUCCUUAAAAACCAAACAAAACAUUCCUCUCAUCUUGGAUCAUAUUCAGCAUCAUCUUUUCUCCCCCCUUGGAUUCAUUGCUUUAAUUUGUUUGUAGCUGUUAUGCCAACAGAGGGUCCUAAGGGUAUUUUCAUCUAUCAUAGAAGAGGAAAAACAGGUGAGGUGACAAUGAUUACAAAGGGGGGAUGAAUGAUGUAACAGAGUUUUGAUGAGGAUAUUCUAGAAUGAGCAUCUUUUGUAACCAACUUAGUUUUGGCUGCAAGUUGUUAUAGCUUAAACAACCUAUAUAUACUCAUAUGUAGUAAUUGGUUGAAUCAUCAAUGAAUAUGCUCACUAUCAUUUUUUCAUUAUCCCUCUUUUUCUUAAAUUCUCUUUUUUCAUUCUAAUCUUCUAUCUAUUCCCUUCUCUUCUAUCUUCUCUAUCUCCUCUCUAUUUCUUUCUAAAUUCCCUUCUCAAUUCUUUGUUACAGGGCUUAGCUCACCACAACGUGGUAUUAGAGCAAUUGGAAAAGAAGGAGGUUGGACUUACCUACCUUUUCUGGUGGGAAUCCCGAUGGGUGGAUAUUUAAGGCUGAACAUUUUUUCUCCUUUUACAAUCUUACGGAGGAAGAAAAAAUAGAAGCCGCCGUAGUGAGUAUGGAAGGUGAUGCUUUAUUUUGGUGUCAAUGGGAAGAACAAGAAUAGAGUGUUACCCAGUGGAGGGAAUUGAAACAAUUUCUUCUGAGGCAUUUUCGACUUCAUAAUCAAGGGGGACUAGAGGAGUAGUGGUUGGCGGUGAGGCAACUACGAAGGGUAGCAGACUAUGCAAAGGAGUUUGUGGAGAAAUCAACUCCUUUGGGAAAUAUAUCCAGGGAUUUAACCUUGGGAGCUUUUAUUAAUGGAUUGAAAGAAGACACUAAGUGUGAGCUGAGAUUAAUGGACCCUAGUAGCCUUAGGAUGGCCAUUAAAUUGGCUGAAAAAAUACACCAAAAAAAUAAGGCCAAAAAUCAUUUUGGCAGACAACAGGAGAUAAACCGUUUUGGGCCUUAUAACCCAAAAACCUUUUCAAAACUCUACCCACAAACAUAGACCCAAUGAACACAAAUCAUCAUCCAUCUUUUUAUCCUACUUAUAGCCCUAAUACACCAAACUAGAAAAAUACUAUUGGGAAUCAUGGGAGGCAACUCAGUGGGAGAGAACUUGGAGAAAAAGAGAUCCAAGGGUCUUUGUUUUAAGUUUGAUGAAAUGUGGUCCUUAACCCACAUAUGUAAAACCGAGAAAUGAGGAUUAUUCUGAUAGAACAGUCGGAGGAUGAGGACAGGGAUGAGAGAGAAAUUGAGGAAGAACUCCUGUCGGAGCAAUAGGAUCCGUUGGCUGGAAUAACAUUGCAGUCUUUAAUAGGGUUUACCAAACUCCAGCUGGCCUCCUCCAACCUUUCCCCAUUGCCACUUGAGUUUGGGAGCAUAUACCUAAGGAUUUUGUGGAGGGUCUUCCAAAAUCCUAAGGCCCUGAAAUAGUUUUAGUGGGUUUAGACAGGUUUACCAAAUAUGCUCAUUUUUUGGGUUUGAAGCAUCCGUUCACAGGAAUAAAUGCGCAUAAAUGUGGCAGCUUUUUUGUCAAUGAACUAGUGACACUACAUGGGUUUCUUUCUUUCAUUGUUUCGGAUCGGGACUGGAUUUUUUUUUUGUACGUUUUAGAGGCAGUUAUUUCAGUAGCUGGGUACCAAACCGGUUUGUAGUACUGCUUUCCAUCCUUAAACCAAUGGACAAACUGAGAUUGUCAACAAAGCACUAGAAAACAAUGGGCCAAAUGGAGACCUUGUUAUUAUACUUCUCCUUAUUCACUAUGCGAAUGCGAAACGUUGUGGCCUCUCUUUUAAUAAUGGAGACCUUGUUCUUCUCAAACUUCAGCCUUACUGGCAGAAGUCAUUGGCCCUCACACUAAAUGAAAAAUUGGCUCCUUGCUAUUUUGUUCCUGACCAUAUUCUCUAUAAGGUUGGUAAGGUGGCCUACAAAUUAGAGCUGCCUGCAUCCAACCUCAUCCAUCCAGUAUUCCACGUGUCUCAACGCAAGCUAGCUCAUGGGUUUACUGCUCCUACUGAUGCACCUCCUCCACUUUCAGAGGAUAUGGUUAUGUAGACUACCACCAGCAAACAUCCUGGUCAUCUGACAUUCCAUACCAUCUCAACCUGAAGUCUUGGUUCAAUGGCAAGGUUUACUUGAAGCAGCCAUCACCUGGGAAAAUUAUCACAAGCUUCGGUCAGCAGUUCCUUCUUAUCACCUUGAGGACAAGGUGUGUCUUCUGGGCGAAGGUAUUGUUAUGCCAGCAGAGGGUCCACUGUCUAUCAUAGAAGAGGAAAAGAGGGUGAGGUGGCAAUGAAUAUGAGACACCUAGAAGUACAAACUACAAUUAUCUGAAAGAAAGAAGAAUGAGAAAAGAACAGUCACAAAAGAAAACAAUGUUUGAAUAGUGCAGGUUUUGAGUAUUGCGACUCCCAAAUUCUUAUUCCAGUUAUUACUCAAUGUCUUUCUAAUACAAUGCUUGACUAUUUAUACAAAAUGACUAUUAUUGGCUACCUUAUGGAACAAUCACAAAAGAUCAUCCUGCCUUAUUCUAAAAACAAUACAUUGACCACAUAUAUUAUACUUUUCCUCAUUCGAACCUCCUUGAUCAUCUUUCCUCCUUCGUCUGUAAUAGGUCUUCAAGAUUGGUUCCUUAUUCUCCUUACUUCCCAUAGGAGGUAUGACAAUACCCCCCUCCAAAAUAUGCACCUUGUUCUGAAGGUGAGAAUGAUAAAAGGUCUUGAAGAAUUUCUCACAAGCUUCCCAUGUGGCUUUCGAAAUAUGCAUUCCUUCCCAAGCUACUAAGAUUUCCUUCGGAUGUGAAUCUGUUGAACUUGGAGGAUGUCUAUGGGUUUCUGGACUUUCUCCAGAUUUUCUGUUAGGGGAGGUGUUGUAGCUGCUGUCUCCUGUGUUCCUACAGCUUUUUUAAGUUGGGAUACGUGAAAUACUGGAUGUAUGAGGCAACCAUCUGGAAGGUACAGCUUAUAAGCCACCUUGCCUAUUUGUUGGAGCACCUUAUAUGGACCAAAAUAGCAUAAAGCAAGCUUCUCAUUUUUAUUCGAACAAUGUCUAUUCCCUGAACAUGUAACUGGACUUGGCGGCGAACUCCUUGUUCCUUAUCUCCGCCCCAUUUCCCAACACUACACCAAAUUUAUCACAUACCUCACACGGAAUUUCGAACUUCUAGACAGCAAGGGUUGAAAUUGAGUUAUUCGUGGCACCCGGGUCGAUCAACACAAUCACUUCUUCGUUUCUGGUUUUGCCUACUAGCUUCAUUGUUUUUGGAUUGUCUAUUCCAACCACUGAGUUCAAAGAAAUAUUGAUGGUGUCUCUGUCAUCCUCUUUGUCGACUUGUUCAACCAAUACAUCCUCCGUUGCAUCCGCCUCCUCUUCGUCCACCCCAAUCAACACAUUCAUCUCUUUCUUGCUACUAACAUGAUUGACCAACCAUUUUCCAUCACAUUGAAAACAUAAUCCUUUCGGUCGUUUUUCCCUAAACUCCUCGGACAAUCGUCGUAGUCAAUUGUCAUGAAGGGUUGGGAAGGGGUAUUAUAGGAAUUAAGUAAUAAAUAAUACUUAGUAAUUAGUUAAGUGGGGGAAUAAAAUGUAGAGAUAAUUAGUAUAAAUAGAGGGGAAGGGAAGGGAAUUAUGCAUUCAUUCAAGUAAUAAUUUUAAGAGGAGUUUUAUACUCAUUGGGAGAGAACAAGCCUCUCGAAUGCUUGUAUACUAUCUUUUGUAAUCGUUCUUUAUUUACAUUCAAUCUUUCACUAUACAUUUACAUUUUUCAUACAAAUUGAUUACUCUCAUAUACAUUUCUGUUUCGCCAUUAGUAAACUCAUCUCAUGGCUAAGUCAGUCCAUGACAAUUGGUAUCAGAGACGUUCGAUUCUUGGUGAUCGAAGACACGUGGGAGACCGAGAUAUUCCAAAUUUGCAUUCUGAUGGUGUUCUUGAGUCCAAGAACAGUAGCUGUCGAGGUCAGAGUAUUGCUGGAGUUCAACAAUGUCAGAAAUCUGCCAUACUUAAGUCUUUGAAUCGUAUGGAGGAGUUAGUUUCACAGAUAAUAAACAUCAUUGACAAGCAAUCUCAGAUUAUGAGAGAACUUUCCAGACAAUAUAACACUGAUCUGGAACAAAUCAGAAACAAGUAUUUAGAGAAAAAGAAAGCAACAGAUGCUUCGUGGGAGACUGCUAUCCAGAAAAUGCCUAAGCAAGAUUCGAAGGCAGCUCAUAAUGAAAAGCACGUUGUAGAUCUGGAAGGCUAUGACAAGGUCGUUGAGCAGGAAGAAGAACAUGAGGAUUCAAUUGCAACUGAGGUGGCAAAAUGCGAAUAUUGGAGCAAAUUGUUACCGAUACAGUCAACAUUUUUGAAAAUCUUGAGAGAAGAGAGCACAAAUUUUCGGUCAGAAACUUUUGACGGAUAUGACUUCAAGCAUGGAGAUUGUAUGUCGGCCGGAAACUCUAGAGAAGAGGUAUACAGAAGCGCUCGAAUGUUGAUCAUAAAAUCACAAGAAGCUGUGUCCUUAGAAUUUAGGAAAAAGAAACACAAAAGGUGGAGAGUAAUAGUGCGACGGCAGAAGAAACCGAGGAAGGACACCGUACCUACGGGUUUCCUGAUGGCACAGAAAAUUCUCGGUGGACGUAGAGGAGAAGAUUCACCGACGCAGAGGCAAAUGUGGUGGUGGAGGAAGCUUUGCAACCAUGGAGGAGAGGAGACGCUGGCACUGGUGAUACAAAACAAGGGCUGAUUAUGGCCUUUGUGAUGUAAAGAUUAAUAUUGUUCCACAAUAUCAAUCAAUAUCAUUCACAAACAAUCACAAUCAAUCAACCAAAAGGACUCGGACAAUCACAAAACGUUCAAGAAGGAACUUCUUGAUUUUCUAAUUAUAGUGACUGGGGGUCUUUAGCCAGCUUUCUGAUUACUCUAACGAUAUGCACAAUACAAGGUCUUCCAGGCCUUGAUUGUAUGGUUCCCUUGAGAAUCCAAAUCACUCCGUAAUUCUUCAACUCUCAGGCCAAGGGUGCUCCGCAACCUUGAUGAAGUUUGCAAACAAACUUCAAAGAACAGAAAAAUCUUUUUUCUGAAUUACCUCUAUGGUAUUGAUCAACUUCAAUUAUCAAAACGUGAAUUGUUCUAUUACAUGCCUGGGACUCUCUUUAUAUAGAGUCCCUAACUAUCAUAACGGCUACAAAUGACACGAGCCUUAUUUAAAAUACACGUGCUAAAACAAGACGCUUAAUAACAGCCAAAACAGAAACAACUAAGACUUAGACAAAUUCUGGUUCUGAUCAUCUGUCGACCAGCCUUCCUUCAGCAUGGGUUCUAGAAUUCCUGAUGGACUAUUAGCAUGAUCCUAGACCCUUGAUGGCUUGGUCCAUGUGGUGAGAUGACGUCCCAGCCCUCCUCCUGGUUCGAGUGGUUCUGGUCUGAGCUCAAGAGGCUCAGCAAGGUCUGCUGUCUGACAGGGGGCUCUGGUUCUUUGAAUCUGUUGUCUGUCUGAUCUUUCAUAUCCAUGAUGCCUGAUUUUGUUGUUUGCUGGCCUUCCUCAAGCCCAUUUCGUGUACUUAGGCUUAUAAUUGACCCUUGAGAAACGUCAGGGGUUGACCCUUGCCCUUCAUGAGCAUUUGGCGUAGAUGUUAAGUCUGACACACUGUUUUGUACUUGUGCAAUGCUUGUAUAAGUUUUCUCACUUGAAACAUUCGUUUCAACUAGUGCGCUUGAGGUGGUUUAGGGAGCUACGCACCCGCAGAGGGGAAAAGACGGGCAGUAAGAGGUGGUGACACAGAGAGAAAACCUCAUGGAAGUCACAAAAUCUGGGUACAACCAUUCUGAUGUAGACAACCAUGGUAGCAGCGGCACCAGAGAAGUCAUCGGCGGUGGGGAGAGCAGGUCUCAUUUUGUGAGGGAAGUGGGGGUCAUUGAAAUUAGGGCAAACGCAAGGAGAGAUGUUGCUAUUUUGAUAUUUGUAGUGGAAGACAACUAUUCUGAUCAAUUUGCUGGAUGGUUUUGAAAUUUAUGGUUAGGGGUAAGGAAGUAAUUGGCUCAAUUUAUGAAAUUACUGCUGAUGUCAUCAACUCAAUUUUUAGUCUAAUUUUAAUCUUUGGCACAAGGCUUCAUUAUAACCAGCUUCCAUUUGGCGCUACUCAUAUUUCACCUUCAACAAUUUCUUUGGGUCUACUCCUAAUUCUCGUGGUCUUGGCUCGAAUUACUUUCUUCCCACCUUGAGGACAAGGUGGAUUUUUUAGGGGCCAGUAUGUCAUGAAAGGCUGGUAUGGGGUAUUAUAGGAAUUAAGUAAUAAAUAAUACUUAAUAAUUAGUUAAGUGGGGGAAUAAAAUGUAGAGAUAAUUAGUAUAAAUAGAGGGGAAGGGAAGGGAAUUAGGCAUUCAUUCAAGUAAUAGUUUUAAGAGGAGUUUCAUACUCAUUGGGAGAGAACAAGCCUCUCGAAUGCUUGUAUACUAUUUUUUUGUAAUCGUUCUUUGUUUACAUUCAAUCUUUCACUAUACAUUUACAUUUUCCAUACAAAUUGAUUAAUCUCAUAUACAUUUCUGUUUCGCCAUUCGUAGACUCAUCUCAUGGCUAAGUCAGUCCAUGACACCAAUCUCCUAAAAAUCCAUUUGGGUUAUGUUCAAGGUUCUUGGGUCGAUACGAAACUGGGUUGUGGGAAAUUUGUUUUUGGCUGGUUAUUAAAUUGGUAGAGGAAAGGUUAUUUUGGUAAUUUGAGUGGUUAGGGCUUUUUUGUGAAUAAAUUUUGGGUUGGACUAUUCUUUUUCCUAACCAAGAUUGGGCUGCCAGUUUUUGAUCUAUUUUCUCAACCUAAUUCAUGGCUUGUUGAAGAGUGGUGGGUCCUAAUACCCUCAAGAAUGCUCCCAACAUAACUGACUCAGCCAUCUUCUGCAUAUGCGUCAACUUCGUGACAAAUUCUUUCCGAUGCUCCGCCACCGACUUCUAUGUUCAAUGGACAUCCAUGGCUCGUGUAAAUCCCCUUCGUCCCAUGGCCGAAAAUAUCUAAGAAUCUAGUUCUUUAAAUCUGGCCAAUUUGUUAAAGGUGAUCUUUCAUCCUCCCAUUGACACCAAAUGAAUGCUUCUUCUUCAAAACAUAAUACUGGUAAUUUCACCUUACGAAACUGCCCGUUCGAUCCUCCUUCCUGGAAAUUUCUGUCCCCUUGAGAUGAUUGGACAUCCCUCCCAUUUCUUGUUUGCCAAUCCGCUUUCUGUCCCUCAUGCUUCAUCAUUUUUUUUUGUCCGACUUGUUUCUUUGUCAGAGAUUGAUUUUCCUGCCCCAUUUCAAUCAAUUUCGCCUGGCCUUCCAUCAAAAUGGCGAGAACCCGGUCGAUGUUAUCUUUUUUUGGGUGAAUCUUGCCUCUGCCGCCGCCACCUCUAAUCGGACUUGAUUAGAGAAAUCCUUCAAUCGCUCUAAACUUUUCUCUUACUGCUUCAAUCGUUGCUGUGUGUUUGCGCUUCCCAUGGCUCGAUUAUUUCUCUGAUACCAGUUGAGACACACCCAGAUUUUCAAACUACAAUUAUCUGAAAGAAAGAAGAAUGAGAAAGAUUCAAGAAAAGAAAGAAAGAAAACAAUGUCUGAAUAGUGUAGGCUUCGAGUACUGCGACUCAAAUUAUUAUUCCAAUUAUUUCUCAAAUGUCUUUCUAAUACAAUGCUUGACUAUUUAUACAAAAUGACUAUUACUGGCUACCUAAAUGAACAGUCACAAAAGACCAUCCUGCCUUAUUCUAAAAUAAUGCAUUUAUUUAUAUCAUCUUUCCUCCUCCGUCUGUAAUAGGUCUUCAAGAUUGGUUCCUUAUUCUCCGUACUUCCGAUAGGAGGUAUGACAGAAUACAAAGGGGGGAUGAAUGAUGUAACAAAAUUUUGAUGAGGAUAUUCUAGAAUGAGCAUCUUUUGUAGCCAACUUAGUUUUGGCAACAAGUUGUUAUAGCUUGAACAACCUAUAUAUACUCAUAUGUAAUAAUUGGUUCAAUCAUCAAUGAAUAUACUCACAAUGAUUCCCUCAUGAUCCCUCUCUCUUUCUUAAAUUCUCUUUUCAAAUUCUGAUCUUCUGUCUAUCGCCUUCUCUUUUAUUUCUUCUAUCUCCUCUCUGUUUCUUUCUAAAUUCCCUUCUGAAUUCUUUGUUACAGGGCCUGUUUCACCACACUAACCUUAAAUCUGAAGCUUACAUACAACAUAUAUGUGAAGGAUUUCUUACUUAAUUGGAUUGGUGACGUGUGCCAUCAAAAUAAUUGUAAGGUGUUGAGAUAUAUUGUGCGCCCACAGCUGAUUCAAGGGAGGUUUGGCAAGCUUCAAUGACCCAUAUUGCUCUUGAAGGUGGAUGUUUUGUUCUGUCAGCUAACCAGUUCUGUCGAAGGAAAGAUUAUCCUCCAUCCC
RNA transcript from Amaranthus tricolor (Joseph's coat), 12520 nucleotides. It is a transcript of the gene named bifunctional nitrilase/nitrile hydratase NIT4A, with no coding region annotated. NCBI's taxonomy places the organism in Eukaryota, Viridiplantae, Streptophyta, Magnoliopsida, Caryophyllales, Amaranthaceae. The record is from RefSeq and is a predicted model, not a curated record. The transcript is spliced from 2 exons.